CAAUUAGUUUAGCUCAUGUCUUCAGGGUCAACAAGUCAGACCUGGGCGUUUUCUUGCUAUCUUUGAAUAGUUUUUCUUUGAAAAGCUGAAAACCAAUGUUCAAGGCCCUAAAAUUUCAUGGAUGUUCUUGGUAAACUAUUUGAAUUCACUGUUGAAAAUUAAUAAUUGAUAACGAUAAAGCAGGGGAAAAUUAUAAGUUGCGAAGAAUACUUCGCUACAUCAAAAGGAAGAGACUAAUUAAAAAAAAGGUAUAAAGUUAAUUUUACAAAUCUAGAUUGUUCCAAUAAGAUAUAUGGGGUUUGUUGGAUGAAUUAUUGACAUUUUAUCAAAUGUUUCCUCACUAUCUUUUCAAAAAGAGGCAUCAUGAAUGGAUUUGAGCAUAUAUUGGGUAAUGUGAUCCUAUCAGGUUGGAUUACCAGACAAUGCCCAAUUGGUUACAGCUUGGAAUCCCUAUCCAAAUUCUCAAUGUUGGUCCCAUACAUGACAGUGGCGAUGUAGUCAGCAACCUUUUAGUCCAAUACUACAUAAUCCUUCGAUUUCUUGACAGAUUUUUCAUCUCGCAAGCUG
Long non-coding RNA from Cucurbita maxima (winter squash), 567 nucleotides. RefSeq lists it as uncharacterized. Lineage: Eukaryota; Viridiplantae; Streptophyta; Magnoliopsida; Cucurbitales; Cucurbitaceae. The transcript has 2 exons. The record is from RefSeq and is a predicted model, not a curated record.